RNAcentral lists this ribosomal RNA (340 nucleotides) under uncultured eukaryote. Its description in RNAcentral is "LSU rRNA". It matches the Rfam family "Bacterial large subunit ribosomal RNA", at positions 2139 to 2478 of the family's 2925-position model. The record is from RNAcentral.
CAGGAUAGGUGGGAGGCGUUGAAAGUUUUCUUGCGGGAAGAUUUGAGCCAUUGGUGAGAUACCACUCUAACAAUGCUAGGAUUCUAACCCUAUGUCGUUAUCCGGCUAGGGGACAGUUUCAGGUGGUCAGUUUGACUGGGGCGGUCGCCUCCUAAAAGGUAACGGAGGCGUGCAAAGGUUCCCUCAGGCUGGUUGGAAAUCAGUCGUAGAGUGUAAAGGCAUAAGGGAGCUUGAUUGUGAGACCUACAAGUCGAACAAAGACGAAAGUCGGCCUUAGUGAUCCGGCGGUACCGAGUGGAAGGGCCGUCGCUCAACGGAUAAAAGUUACUCUAGGGAUAAC